GUAACAUUUUUAUAUAUCAGUUAAGGAAACAUUUAAAUUAAAACAAUAAUCCUAAUACUAAAAAGAAGAAAUAAUUAAAUAUUUUGCAUCCUGUGUGUGAGAACAAUGUAUUUUUUUAAAUUUAUGACUUUGGUACUUCAUCUAAGUAAGAGUGGGGCUUUCUUCAGUAAGUUAUAGGUGUGAAACACGAAACUUGAUGAACGAUUUUGUUCCUAAAAAUUUAUGAUCCGUUGUUCUACUUGAAAACAUAGUAACACGUAGGUACAUUUUGGGGUUUUUUUGUUGUUUUUUGGUACCAGGGAUUGAACUCAGGACCUUGCGCUUUCGAGGCAGGAGGAGGCACCACUGAGCUAAAUCCCUGGCCCACAGAUUUAGCGAGGUCUGGAGCUACUGGUGUGGAAUGGGACAUAAGAACUGUGAGCCUCGGACAGCAGCCCUUUACCAGGUAUUUGGAGGUUGACCUGGACUUAGCUGUGUUAAGCUGCCUGCACCACAGGAAACCACCUCCCUCGCUGCUGCUUGCUGCUUUCUCUUUAGCCAACACCCAAAGCCACUGCCAGUGUCAGGGAGAUGAGACUUCACAGGGCAAUGCCUGUUUGUGAGAUUGUGUGCAGUCAUCCCUUUGAAGUGUUGGUUCUGAGAAAAGAUCUCUGUAAUUUUCCAUGAUCUUCAUCAACAAACAGGAAAUGCAGGGUCACUAGUACUUCAAGAAAUUGGACAGAAAAAUGAAAAGAGGUUCUCAAAAUAUUGAAGCAACGGAAGACCCAAGCUACCCCUCCCUGUAUGUAUCAUCAGCUCUCUCUAACUGAUGGGAAGUUGCACAUAGCCAAGGAUGAAAAAUAUCUCCAUACAAGAUUAUCUGGAAAAUUGAUCCAAGCAGGAUGAGAUACCAUGUAGUAGUAUUCAGUCUUCAGAGUUGGUGGUCUGAACUUGAAAUUUUUCAGUUAUUCUACAUCAAGUCCUGAACUACUGGUUAGUGUGAAGAAGGAAGGAGCAGGACGUCUGCUGAGGCUAGAAGCAGUGAGGCUGUCACUAGCAGGCUGGGGACCUGAGAAGCACUGUGGAUGGGCGGAAGCAGCUGCACUAGGGACCUCAGAAGUGGACACCUGGAGAAGACACAUGUCCAGGGCACUUGGGAGCCAACAGAAAUUGAUCUUAGC
RNAcentral lists this long non-coding RNA (1160 nucleotides) under Heterocephalus glaber (naked mole-rat). Its description in RNAcentral is "lncRNA (ENSHGLG00100051171.1)". Lineage: Eukaryota; Metazoa; Chordata; Mammalia; Rodentia; Bathyergidae. The record is from RNAcentral.